RNA transcript from Brienomyrus brachyistius, 2270 nucleotides. RefSeq lists it as uncharacterized. NCBI's taxonomy places the organism in Eukaryota, Metazoa, Chordata, Actinopteri, Osteoglossiformes, Mormyridae. The record is from RefSeq and is a predicted model, not a curated record. The transcript has 3 exons.
UGUUUGCAAUCAAUGGCCCACAUUUGUGAGAGUAUUUUGUAAUAUAGUAUCUCAUAGAAAAUGUUGAUUCUGAAAGGAAACUAAAGGUUUUCUGACAAAUGUAGUGGGGUGUACUCAUUUAUGCUGAGCACUGUAUAUAUAUGGUGGUGCAGUGGUUAACACUGUUGCCUCACACCUCUGGGACCCAGGUUCGAGUCUCUGCCUGGAUUACAUGUGUGUGGAGUUUGCAUGUUCUCCCCGUGUCCUCGUGGGGUUUCCUCCGGGUACUCCGGUGUACCCCCACAAUCAAAAACAUGCUGAGGCUAAUUGGAGUUACUAAAUUGCCCAUAGGUGUGCAUGUGAGAGUGAAUGGUAUGUGAGUGUGACCUGUGAUGGGCUGGCCCCCCAUCCUAGGUUGUUCCCUGCCUCGUGCCCAUUUUAUUGACAUAAAAGUCUGUUCCUCUAAUUAUAGAAUAAUAUAUAGAAUAAUUAUACAAGAGCUAUAAUUAUUAUGAUGUUAUUAUUUAAUUGUGUGGGCCGUGUUGCUUGAUUACAUUUGACUCUUCGGCACGUGGGACGCUGCCGGUUUGAAAGACGCAGCUUCACUUGUUUUCUGCACCAAGAUGACGAGAAACAAACGAAUUGCAAAAGCUGUCAGCUGGAGCAACGAUCGAUACUGGGCAACUUGGGACAAGUGGAUGGAAGUGAUUGACUGGGAAGAUGAGGAAGAGCUGUGCUCCCCAGCAGAAUCACCCUCUGACCAGGCUGACCGUUCCAUCGUGUCACACACCCGAAAGCCAAUUGCCAAGGCAGUUAGCUGGACGGAUGAUGUGUAUUGGGCAGCCUGGGACAAGUGGGAUGAGAUCAUCUGCUGGGGUGAAGAAGGAGAGUGCUCCCCAGCAACUCCACCCAUCAACCAGCCUGGGAGGGAUAAGGGGUUAGACAUGCAUGGGUUAGAGGUUUUUCUGUUAAAUGAAAGGACAGUCUCCAUAAAGCCUGCAUAUGACCACCAAGACAGGCUGAAAAUAGGAGCCGUAGUGGUCGACCUCUGCCAGUUUGAGCUAGAUGGUGUAAAUGAUAAAUUUGAAAUUGUCGAAAUACAAAUUGGAGAGGUCAAAUUGGAGGAGACUGCAGAGAGGGGUUUUAAUUCAGAAUUUGAAUUGGAAAUUUUGGAUGUGGAGAUAGAGGUUGUAGACAGUGAAUUCCAGCUGAAUGCUCUUAAUUGGGAAAUUGCUGGAACUAAAGUGGACAAAUUAUUAGUGGAACACCUGAACAUAAAUAAUCUAGAAGCAGACAGUGUGAAGGUGUCCACAUCAAAUGGGAAUGUGGUAUAUGUCAAUGGUAUGUGAGUGUGUUUGGUAAUGAUGGGUGUGAAUGGUGUGUGUAAGUGGUGUGUGUGUGUGUGUGUGUGUAUGAGAAUGGUGAUUGAAUGGUGUGUGUGAGGUAAUGGCGUGUGAGUGAAUGGUGUGUGUGAGUGACAGGUGUGUGAAUGGUGUGUGUGAGGUAAUGGCGUGUGAGUGAAUGGUGUGUGUGAGUGACAGGUGUGUGAAUGGUGUGUGAGUGGUAAUGGCGUGUGUGAGUGAAUGGUGUGUGUGAGUAUAUGGUGUAUGUGAAUGGUCUAUGUGUGUGUGAAUGGGGAGUGAAUGGUGUGUGAGUGACUGGUGUGUGUCUGGUGUUUAUGAAUGGUGUGUGUGAGUGAAUGCUGUGUGAAUGGUGUUUAUGAAUGGUGUGUGUGUGAGUGAAUGCUGUGUGAGUGACUGGUGUGUGAAUGGUGUUUAUGAAUGGUGUGUGAAUGAAUGGUGAGUUUUUGUGUGUGUGUUUGUGUGUGUGUGUGUGUGUGUGUGUGUGUGUGAAUGAUCUGUGUGUGUGAGCCUGCCCUGUGAUGGGUUGGUGUCCCAUCCUGGGUUGUUCCCUGCCUCGUGCCUGUAGCCUCUGGGAUCCAUCUGACCGCCUGUUCCAAAAGGCAAAUUGAUCCCCACAUCCCUGAACAGGAGAAGCGGUUUUAGAAAAUGGAUAAAUGUUCCCAGAGGUGUGAGGCAACAGUGCUAACCACUGUACCAUGCAUAUGUAUAGGAUAUGUAGAAGAAUACCUGUUGCAGUUAUCUGAUGUGUGUGUUUUUCACUCUCCCUGCCGGCCCCUGGAGGUUUGGGCUUCCCCUUUGAGUCUGGUGCCUCCCAAGGUUUCUUCCUUCUAGGGAGUUUUUCCUUGCCACUGUCGCCUAUGGCUUACUCACUGGGGGCUUUGGGUGGGGGUGCUCUAAAGCGCUUUGAGACAAUGUAAUGUUGUGAUA